RNAcentral lists this long non-coding RNA (2820 nucleotides) under Lynx pardinus (Iberian lynx). Lineage: Eukaryota; Metazoa; Chordata; Mammalia; Carnivora; Felidae. The record is from RNAcentral.
AACAUCUUCACCACAGUCUUAUUAGGGUUAAAUAAGGUCUGAAGAAACAAUAUAAAAAUUUUUCUUAAAAAAGUGAUUUAUUGAGUUGAUACAAAAUAAUUGUGCCAAUAAUAAAAUAGACUUUUUAAUAAGAAGUUAAUCCCACUGGAUAUAAUUUAGUUUUGGGAACUAAAGUUAAUAACAUUUUAGAAGUUUAUGAAAAGAUAUUCACUAUUUUAAAAAACGGUUCAAUUUAUUUCCUGUAACAAAUCAAAAUCUUUAGUCACAAAUUUCAUAUUAGACAAUAUAAACUUUUACUCUUUGUUCAGAUUUUUACAAAUGCUUCCACUAAAGUAAGCAAAAUACACCCUUACUGGAUUAAAAAAUUCCAGUUCACUUAUUUCAAACAUUAGCUUUAUUAAAGUGUGUCAAACCCAAAGUACUCAAAACAGAAUGUUAAUUUUCAUCACAUUUUGAUAAGUAAAUAGAAAUUGUUUUAAAAUAAAAAAGCUAGGUAAAACUAGACUUUUUGGUAUACUAGGUAUGUAUAGUUACUAUAAAAUUAAAAAUAUGUUCUAAAAAAAGAGACUUUUUCUUAUUUGGAAAUUUUUCCAAGUUUAGAAAAUAAGGUGUAUUAUUAAUUACCAAGUAGACUAAAUAAUACUUCAUGUUCUCACAGUUGGAUUCGUUUCAAAAACUGUAGUGUAAAAUCAUCAAUAUUAUAAUAGACCAAAAUAUGUAUCCUUAGUUAAGACUGAAUUAAAUUCAAUUGAUACUUGGCUAUUAAUAACCAGAGGAAUAUUAUUUUUUAAAGUACUAAUUUUUAAACAAGAUCCCAAGCUGCUGAUCUGACUUUAACCAAAUUACCAACACAUCAAUAGGUAACUUGGUGCCCGUGCUUUCAGAAGCUCAUCCGUGGCACUGGACAUCACUCACUGAAUCAAAAUGAGAAAUAUAUCAAUAUUAUGAUCCAACUUUUGAAAUCUAGUGAGUCUUAAGAUUAAGGCUAACACAUUCAACAACCACAACAACUAGCAAGCUAAAAGUUCAAACCAUGUUGAUAAAUAAUUAAACUAUAUAAGGAAUGAAAGACACACCUAAAUUUCAGAUUUAAAAUUAAUCAUUAAAGUUGGUAGUCCUCAAACAAAGGGGUAUGAACGUGCUGCCUUGGGAUUUAUGCCUCAUUCUUAUGACAACUGAGAGCUAGCUUUUCCAUGCUUUCACAUGAACUACAUAGCCAAGGGCAAGAAAACAAGAUGAUUAUCACUCUUUUUAGUUCAAGAAAUCCAUUUAACAUAAAAGUCUUACUUUAAUAUGCAAUGAUUAUUCCUCAGUGAAAUUAUAUAUAUAUAUGUAUAUAUAUGUAUAUAUAUGUAUAUAUUGCAAUAUGUGCACACAAAUGUAUCACAUAAUACCAUGUUUCAUCCCUGUGUGAUGUGAACUAAGCAAAUGUACAGAAGACUCCUUGAUGUAUUUGAACAAUAGUGAUGAGUAAAAGUGGUCUGGUGAAGCAUUGAUCACAUUGAGGCCAAAAGGCAUAAAAAGGCUUGUUGAAUUAGACCAGAUCCUGAGUAUAAGGAACUUAGCUAGACUUUUUGUUUUGUUUUUUUUUUUUAAUUUCAACUUUCUUGAGGUAUAACUGACAAAUAUCAGUUAGAUUCUUGUCAGUCUGCUAGAGCCAGCUUUAUAAUAUACUUUUGGGCAUGUAAGAUUAUCCUGGGUCUGACUUGGAGAUGAACCCAAUUGUAAACUGGCCUUGAUAUCAAAUUACUCUUCUGAAAAACCAAGACCAACGAUGAUGAAGGACUGCUUUGGGCUCAAGGAAUUCUCCUGAGCCAAAACUAGAUCAACACCUACACCAAAAGGAAAGAUGCUUUCUCUGCCCUCACAUCUGUCAGACUACAUUUCUACUUGGUGUAACCAUUUUAGUAGGUUAAUUUAGAAAUUAUUACACCAGGGAUAAUAUAAUUUUGUUUCCCAAGUUUUCCUGCAAAAGCAAUACUAGCAUUUGAGGUUUCCUUUUAAAUAGGUCAAUCUCAGUCUGACUAACUAUAUUAAAUGGAAGGAACUAGUAAAGUUCUAAUUACAUUGAAAACAGCUCUAUUUAAGUUACGUAAACUGUCAUAUACUAUUUUUCUAAAGCAUUCACCUUGAUUAGAUUAUUAAUGUUUUCCUUUUAUGGAGGUCCCCACAUGGCCAUUCCUGGGGCAGAGCAGGGAAACUCCAAAGAAAGCUGCAGCCCCACUGUUACUUACCAAAGUUGUUGCAGCAGCAGUAGCAGGAGAAAGGGCUAAGUUCUAUAUGUAUGUGAGAGAAUGAUUAUUGCAAUUGUAGACUAUAAAACACAUACCACUUGUAUUGUUCCUGAAGGAGGUACUCGAUAACCCCUUUUACCAAGGGACUCUAAAGUAAUCACACCCUUGAAAUAAAAGAAGACAAAUUGAGUACAAACUGAUGCAUAUGUAUAUGAAAGGCUAAAAUAAGUAAAAUAAAUCAUGUAAUUACUAAAAUUUUAGAAUUCUACUUGUAUGCAAAAACAUUCCCAUCAAUAGAUACAUUCUGAGUAUGAAAUAUUGAGGGUCCCACCCAAAAGGAAACAAUUUACUGUUCUUCCUGCAGAUGUUGAAAUAAAUAACAUUACACUGUUUGAAAUUUCCAUUAAGAUAUACAAUAUAGAAGUUCCUUAAAAAGGAAAUACAGUUAGAAGACAGGAUUAUUUUCUUGUAUCAUGUGGAAAGAGAGAAAUGAAAAAGCAACUAAUUUAUUGUUCUUUGGACAUACAAAAAGUAAAGAAUGCAGAAGGGUCUAAGUCUUAGCCAAUAGUGAAGUAAAUUCUUUAGU